GGGCCCAUAGCUCAACUGGCAGAGCAGCGGACUCUUAAUCCGUUUGUUGUAGGUUCGACUCCUACUGGGCUCA
This 73-nucleotide transfer RNA is filed under the name Pseudomonadota bacterium. RNAcentral's name for it is "tRNA-Lys". It matches the Rfam family "tRNA". Rfam says of the family: Transfer RNA (tRNA) molecules are approximately 80 nucleotides in length. The record is from RNAcentral. RNAcentral also lists the same sequence under 2 other names. Lineage: Bacteria; Pseudomonadati; Pseudomonadota.